GGAGGAGUGGCUGAGCUGGUUUAAGGCAUCCGACUUGAAAUCGGACGUGGGCUUGCGCUCACCGGGGGUUCGAAUCCCUCCUCCUCCGCCA
Molecule: transfer RNA, 91 nt
Filed under: Opitutaceae bacterium
Lineage: Bacteria; Pseudomonadati; Verrucomicrobiota; Opitutia; Opitutales; Opitutaceae
Description: tRNA-Ser
Rfam family: tRNA
About the family: Transfer RNA (tRNA) molecules are approximately 80 nucleotides in length.
Source: RNAcentral